ACAACAAUACAGAGAAAAUUAGCAUGGCUCCUGAGCAAGAAUGACACACAAGUUUGUGAAGUGUUCCAUAUUUUG
Molecule: small nuclear RNA, 75 nt
Filed under: Ailuropoda melanoleuca (giant panda)
Lineage: Eukaryota; Metazoa; Chordata; Mammalia; Carnivora; Ursidae
Source: RNAcentral